ACGGGAGGCAGCAGUGAGGAAUAUUGGUCAAUGGACGUAAGUCUGAACCAGCCAAGUAGCGUGCAGGAUGACGGCCCUAUGGGUUGUAAACUGCUUUUGUUGGGGAAUAAAUGACGGGACGCGUCCCGUUUUGCAUGUACCCUUCGAAUAAGGACCGGCUAAUUCCGUGCCAGCAGCCGCGGUAAUACGGAAGGUCCGGGCGUUAUCCGGAUUUAUUGGGUUUAAAGGGAGCGUAGGCCGGAAGCUAAGCGUGUUGUGAAAUGUAGUGGCUCAACCUCUGCACUGCAGCGCGAACUGGCAUCCUUGAGUGCGCGGGAAGUUGGCGGAAUUCGUUGUGUAGCGGUGAAAUGCUUAGAUAUGACGAAGAACUCCGAUUGCGAAGGCAGCUGACUGUAGCGUUACUGACGCUGAAGCUCGAAAGUGCGGGUAUCGAACAGGAUUAGAUACCCUGGUA
This 454-nucleotide ribosomal RNA is filed under the name uncultured Prevotella sp. RNAcentral describes it as "partial 16S ribosomal RNA". It matches the Rfam family "Bacterial small subunit ribosomal RNA", at positions 341 to 792 of the family's 1533-position model. Lineage: Bacteria; Pseudomonadati; Bacteroidota; Bacteroidia; Bacteroidales; Prevotellaceae. The record is from RNAcentral.